AUGAACGCUGGCGGCGUGCCUAAUACCUGCAAGUCGAGCGAACGGACGAGAAGCUUGCUUCUCUGAUGUUAGCGGCGGACGGGUGAGUAACACGUGGAUAACCUACCUAUAAGACUGGGAUAACUUCGGGAAACCGGAGCUAAUACCGGAUGAUAUUUUGAACCGCAUGGUUCAAAAGUGAAAGACGGUCUUGCUGUCACUUAUAGAUGGAUCCGCGCUGCAUUAGCUAGUUGGUAAGGUAACGGCUUACCAAGGCAACGAUGCAUAGCCGACCUGAGAGGGUGAUCGGCCACACUGGAACUGAGACACGGUCCAGACUCCUAAGGGAGGCAGCAGUAGGGAAUCUUCCGCAAUGGGCGAAAGCCUGACGGAGCAACGCCGCGUGAGUGAUGAAGGUCUUCGGAUCGUAAAACUCUGUUAUUAGGGAAGAACAUAUGUGUAAGUAACUGUGCACAUCUUGACGGUACCUAAUCAGAAAGCCACGGCUAACUACGUG
This 496-nucleotide ribosomal RNA is filed under the name uncultured bacterium. RNAcentral's name for it is "partial 16S ribosomal RNA". It matches the Rfam family "Bacterial small subunit ribosomal RNA", at positions 29 to 507 of the family's 1533-position model. The record is from RNAcentral.